Molecule: ribosomal RNA, 468 nt
Filed under: uncultured bacterium
Lineage: Bacteria
Description: partial 16S ribosomal RNA
Rfam family: Bacterial small subunit ribosomal RNA
Source: RNAcentral
GACGAACGCUGGCGGCGUGCUUAACACAUGCAAGUCGAACGGAAAGGCCCUGCUUUUGUGGGGUGCUCGAGUGGCGAACGGGUGAGUAACACGUGAGUAACCUGCCCUUGACUUUGGGAUAACUUCAGGAAACUGGGGCUGAUACCGGAUAGAAGCUCCUGCUGCAUGGUGGGGGUUGGAAAGUUUCGGCGGUUGGGGAUGGACUCGCGGCUUAUCAGCUUGUUGGUGGGGUAGUGGCUUACCAAGGCUUUGACGGGUAGCCGGCCUGAGAGGGUGACCGGCCACAUUGGGACUGAGAUACGGCCCAGACUCCUACGGGAGGCAGCAGUGGGGAAUAUUGCACAAUGGGCGGAAGCCUGAUGCAGCAACGCCGCGUGCGGGAUGACGGCCUUCGGGUUGUAAACCGCUUUCGCCUGUGACGAAGCGUGAGUGACGGUAAUGGGUAAAGAAGCACCGGCUAACUACGUG